UACAGAGGUCCCGAGCGUUGUUCGGAUUCAUUGGGCGUAAAGGGUGCGUAGGCGGUCUGCUAAGUUUGAUGUGAAAUCCCGGGGCUCAACCCUGGAAUGGCAUUGAAUACUGGCGGACUAGAGUACCGGAGAGGAAACUGGAAUUCCCAGUGUAGCGGUGAAAUGCGUAGAUACUGGGAGGAACACCAGUGGCGAAGGCGGCUACCUGGACCGGUUCUGACGCUGAGGCGCGAAAGCGUGGGUAGCAAACAGG
This 253-nucleotide ribosomal RNA is filed under the name uncultured bacterium. RNAcentral describes it as "partial 16S ribosomal RNA". It matches the Rfam family "Bacterial small subunit ribosomal RNA", at positions 524 to 776 of the family's 1533-position model. The record is from RNAcentral.